RNAcentral lists this long non-coding RNA (2059 nucleotides) under Homo sapiens (human). RNAcentral's name for it is "HSALNT0382679". The record is from RNAcentral. Lineage: Eukaryota; Metazoa; Chordata; Mammalia; Primates; Hominidae.
UUUAAACAGCAGGUGAUCAAAUUUAGUGCAUGUUAGUUUGUCAAAGCUGCAUUUUCAAGUUGUAACAGAUUGGUGCCUUAGACUAUGGGAUGGACAUGGACAGAAGAAAAAUCUGAUGGUGAAUAUAAGAAAAGCUGUGAAAAAAGAAAUGGAGAGGAGUGUGGGGAUGGUUAAUUCACAGAGAAGGGAAGCCGGCCUUGCCUGGAGUCAGCAGCCAGGAGUCCAGCAUUCACAUUCUCCCCAGAAGGAACAAAAGGCCACAUGUGCCCUGUUUUGCAGAUGUGCCUUCCCCACGCCUCCAUGGGGGCCUUUGGCCCAGUUCUCAUUGGCAGUGUCACUUCCUGAUACUCAUUUUCCAGAAGCCUCCCAGGUGAUUAGCCAUCAUAUGUCUCCAAGAAAGGAAGUGUUCGGCACAUAAUCUGCCAAUGAUUGCUGAUGACAACACAAGUGUCAGACACUGUGUUAGCAAUGACAAGGACAUGGUCUCUGCCUUCUAGUACGUGAGGAGUCUGGCCUUGAGCCUCACCCUGAGGCUGCAGUGUACUCAAAGUUGUAACAGACCAGGACAGAGGGCUGAGGGUACAGGAGAAAGGGUGCCCAGCCUUGAAGAGUCAGGAGAGACAUCAGUACAGUUAAUACAGGCUCCAUGGAGUGGGGAGGAACAGGAGGGACAGACAGCAGCAGGAAACUCAUCUGGAAAGGUGUGCAAGGGUCAGAGCACAGGCUAGUGGAGAGAGCCAGGAAAAGGCAUGUGGGCCUUGAAAGCAGACGGACCCAGCUCAUCUAAUGACUGGCUGUAAAACCUUAGGCAAAUUACAUCAUUUCUGAAGCUUCAGAGCUUCUUAUAUGUGGAUUGGGAGAAACUAGUUACUCACAAUUCUUCCUUCCCACCCCACCUUUCCCAAGGCCCACUGUAGGCAGAGAAUGCUCCCUAUGCUGUUGCUGAUGGGCUUGGCCCUAUGCCUCAUCUCAGCCAUUGGAAUAUGGGUGGGAGUAAGAUGGGGCAGCUCCAAGCCAAGGCCUUAAGAGCCACCACUUUCUUCCUUCUAGCCCCACUGUGCCUCUGUAUCUGCCAUGAGAAGGGCAUGCCUGGGAGCUGCUGGUCCAAGAACAAGGAGUCAGAGAACAGCCCUGAAAUCAACCCACAGCCUGAUGCAGAGUGGCCCCAACCCACAGACCUAGUUGCAUAAAAGGUUUGGUGGGAAGGAAACUCGAUUCAACAAAGUCAAACAUACCUGAGUGCCUACGAUGCACACGGCGCUGGCCUGGGCAGGACAGUACAGAGGGGUGAGCUAUAGCCGGGGCAGACAGCAACCAACAUCAGCAGGAACAGAGGCUGGCGCCUGUCCCAACACCCGGCGACCCUCAGGCCUUCAGCUGCCGGCUGCAGGUUAGUCCGUGAUCCCUGCAGUGGAGUGGGAGGCAGGGCUUCGAACCCAAGCCCUGUCCCCCUCCAUCAGCCCCACCCAUUUCCUUCACAUUGAAGUGUUCUGCCUCUGCUGCCUGUCCCCAUCCUACCCCAGCGCAGGCACUGGGAAGCACUUCUCCAUUCACAACGCCCCUUCACAAAGAGGUCUCGGUGGAACCUUACAAUAGGACGCACACAAAGUCCACUUGACCGGAAAACCGAGGCCAGACCACACCGUCAGUGCCAAACACCGUCAGGCCAGACACCGUCAGUGCCAAAGCCAGGCCUAGAACCCACGUCUCUGCCUGUUGGUUCCGGGCUAUUUCUGCUAGUCAUUCACAACAGUUUCUAAAAUUAAUAAGAAAUGAUAAGUAUGCGAAAGUCCAUACAUGGAAACGUUCCCGUGAGAUGCAAAAAGAACAAGGCACAAACGAGCUGACACGGCCAGGUUCGUAGUGUCCGUGUUUGUUCCGCUCCCCACCGGCCCCUGGGCCCCUCCAGGGCAGGGGCAUGGCCGUAUUGACGCCUGUGACCCCGGGCACCUGGCGCGGUGCUGGCACCAACAUCCCGAAAUGCGCCAGCCUGGGCACCUCAGGGCCCGGCUCCAAGACCCGGCCCGUGCGACCCCUGGGGCGCCCCCCUAGUCUGGCC